AAAAAAAAAAAAGAAAAAAGUAAAAGAGGAAAAUAGAAGAAGAAAAGAAAGGUACAAAAAACAAAAAAUAAACAAAAUAAAAAAAAUUAAAUUAGAAAAAAAGACUGCGCUUCUCCUCCCUUUUCAUAUUUAGUUAAAUUAAAAUGACCAAAAAUAGUUAAAAUUAUUAAAUCCGGUGAACCUACUAAUGAAUUUAAUAGAUUUAUAAAAUUUUUGAUAAAUUUUGUUUAAUCAAUUAAAUAUUUAGGAAGCCUCUAUACAUUUUCACCAUAAAAAAUUUUGAUAAAAAAAGGUGUACAGACCUCCUCAACUAUUAAACGCUUUGAAAUAGACAACUCCAAAUUAUUUUUUAACUAAUUUUAAUAAUUUUUAAUUUUUAUGCUUAAUUCUAAUUAAUUAAAUAAAAAUUGUUAAUAUUUAUAUAAAUUAAAAUAUUUAAAUUAUCUGAAAUACUACCUACCCGCCGCGAAGCGCGGGCCCUACACUAGUAUAUAUUAAUAUAUAUAGACACAGCUAAUUAAACACUUCUUCAUGCGUGCACGUCAUGGAUAUACACAUAUAGACACAGAUAUUAUUCUCUUAAACGCAUACAGUAGCCGUAUAUUCAUAGCUUUUUAACCGUCAGAUCUGCUUCAAGGUUCGUGUAGUUUUGCUGGUCAAUUUAUUAUAGUUAAUUUCUCCCAACCAAUUUUUCUGUCCCAGAUUCCAAAUUAAUUAUUGUAGAGCAUGCAUCCGCCUCCUCCUUCCCUCUGGCCGCCGCCCACCACCACCACCUCCUUUCUCCCCCAACUACCCCUUGCCUUCGGGAUGGGGCCGAGGGUGCUCCGACUCCGGCAUUCUCGUCACAUUUAACGUCGCUGUUGUCGGCAGGUCGACAUCGUCUCCCUCGGCGCCGGCAGCACCAUCGUGCCCUACCACCUCGACGCCAUCGCCGUGGAUGCCUUCUCCGCUGCUGAGAAAGUUGUUCUUCGUCUCCGCCUCUGUCGGGAACAGCGGCCCCGAUGAGCUCAUUGUCACCAAUGUUGCCUCGUGGGUCGCCAUCCUCAGGGUUUGGGGUGGCGACAGUGGUCGAGGUGGGUGCUACCGGUGCCGGAGGAUGAGGAUGAGGAGGGGUGCUGUACGAGGAUUAAUUGAUAAUUAGCCAGAGAAGUUAAUUAGAAAAGUUAAUUAGGGUGCAGAAGUUAAUUAUCUAAAAUUAAUUGGGAUAAAUUAGUCAUUAUAUAUGCACAGACCUUAAAGCAGAUCUAAUGGCCAAAAAUAGUUACGAGAACAAUAACUAUUUAAAAUUUAAAAUUUAUAAUUUAUAAUUUAAAUUUAAAAUUUAAAAUUUAAAAAAUUAAAGUUUAAAAUUUUUAAAUUUAAAUUAAAAAUUAAAAAUUUAAAUUUUAAAAUUUUAAAAUUUAAAAGUUGACAAUUUAAAAUUUUAAAUUAAAUUUUUUAAUAUGACGUACUGAAAGGGUUUCAAGAGCUAGAGGGAUAAAAUUGUUAUUUUACAUAAUAUGCAGUAUUACUGACUUUCAGUAAUCCAAGAUACACAUCACCUCUCGUUAAUAUUUUUUGUGUAAUUCUGCAUAAUUUGUAAUGCUAUAUUACCAACCUGAUUAUAUAUCGAAUGAACCAAAUACGAUAAUUCUCACAGGAUUGCAUGUAAUCCUGCCAGGAUAACCCGAACCAAACGCAUCCUAAGAGUAUAGUAGUAGCUGCACUAGAUAUAUAGAGAGAGAGAGUUGGACUAAAAUACUAUUAAUAGUGUUUGCCCAUUUUGAUCAUUUAUAGCCAUUGGAUUAAAUAUUAUAACCCAGUGAGUACCACUCAACUUUAAGAGAAUAAUAUCAUACAAACCCUACAAUUUCUCAUCCAAGGGUUAUAUAGUUAAGCGGAAAUACUAUCGGUAACAAUAUGCUAUGUUGCUAUCUAUUUAUUUUUUAUGACAGAGCCUCUAAAUCGACGAUCUGCACCGUUGAGCAUAAUCUAUAGCAUUUAAAAUAUCUAAAAAUCAGAUUUCACACUUUUUCGAUAUUGCUCUCUUAUCCAUCAAGUGGACACAAAAAUAAACGACUGGAAAUGAAUAUCCUCUAAAAAAUGAUGAUAGGAGUUUUGUAAUCAAGAUCGAACGUAUAGAUCUUGUUCUAAACAAUUUAAAAAAUUUUCUAACAAAAAUUCAAUUAAUUUGGAUAUUGCUAUACUAUUAAACGAGAAAACUCCUUAUAUCGGUAAUUAAAAUUAUAAAUUUUGAAACUCUUUGAUCAAUAGAUCAAUAAUGUCGAAAUAAUUUAAAAUUUGGUUUCUAAAUACUUCAAGUGGCAUAGAUCAUGUUCAAUAGUACCGUUCAUCGAUGUGGAGGUCCCAUCAUCAAAAAUAAAUGGGGGACAAUGAAACCCGUUUGCUACCGAUAGCAUUUCAGCUCGAACCCAAAAUUAUAUAUUUAAUAUCCAAAGUCCGGCCCAAACGUGGUCUAUCGGACUAGGCCAUAUUUAGGCCCGGGCCCAAUUCCACCCCUAGUUUUGAUGGCGAGCGGUGCACGGCCCGGGAUGGCGAGGGUUUUGAAGAAUCCGAAGUUUUAAUGGUGAGCAGUGCGUGGCUCCACGGUGGCUUCUGAUCGCCAGUGGCCGGUCUGGAGGGGGGCGAGGAGGAGAGGAGUAAAGAGGGCUAGGGCAUACUUUGAGCGAGAGUAGAGGCGAGUGUUUUUUGCACGAGUUUUUUUUUUAUCUUUUUAACGGAGCAUGCUUUUUUUUUGGCAAAUAAUACAGAAUUUACGAAUUAUUCGUCAAUAAUAGCUUUAAACUAAAAAAAUAUAAUUUAUUUCGAAUUUUUGAGAAAAAAAAAUAAAUACGAACUGUUUAAUUCAAUUACCAAUAAUUUGCGAAUUAACUAACUAAAUUCUAGCUUCUCUUAUUUUGUUUUUCUUAACUGUGAGAGAAAAACUAAUACAUAUAGCCUAAUAAAUUCCACAUCAGAAUAUCAUGCUUACUUAUCAUAUAAAACUCAUAGUAUGUUUUUAAUAAUUGUAUAUUGGACAAUUACUAAGUAUUCUAUUACUAAAGCAAAAUAUAAAAUUAUUGGCUAUUUUCCAAUUUUGAUCGCCUCUGCAAAUUUCGAUCAUCCCGUAUAUGUGUCCUGCCUUAGUAAGCAUCCAAAUAUAACAUUACCUUUUUAAUUGAGAGAGAGAAUAUACUUUACAUAGAUUUUUCUACUGAUUAACAACAACAAAAUAGAAGUUUUUUUUUUUUUGGUAAAUAUCUAUGGAUCUAUGAAGUUUGAAACCGAAAACUUCCUCACAUUAGUCCAUCACCUAAUAACCAGCCCAAGUGACUCCGGCAUCCACCCUUGCGUUGGCCUCUAUUCAUGUACUCGUAGUACAGCUUAUCCUGGUCCCGGUUCCCAGGCCACUCAGUCUGCCCGGCCGGAUCCACGAGGCCAUCGAUGUACACCAUCCUCGAAUACAGCUUAAUUCCGCGGCCUCCCGAGAUAAAUCCUGGUGCUCAUGGCCUCUCGAGAUAAGUUCUUGUGCUCACAUUGCUUGAACGACUAUCGAACAAUUUCGACUGCCCGGGAUGGGCUUCCGGGCUAUGAUGCUGCAGCGCUGGAAACAACACCGGGUUUCCAAAUAUGAAGUCGAUGGUGCCGUAAAUGUCGCACUCGCGGUAAAACUUGUCAAAUAUAAAAAUGUUUAAAUACCGUUCUUUAACAGUUUAAACUUUUAGAGGACAACGGUUGUUCACAUAGUAUCAGAGCAGGAAGUAAUUCAAACCCAUGUCAUGAUCCGACCAAAAAAUUCCAAGCUCAGAUGUGAAAGAGAGUGUUAAAUAUAAAAAUAUUUAAAUACCGUUUUAUAAAAAUGUGAGAGGGAGUAUAACGAUUGUUUCACAAAACUCCCGUUGACUCAGAGGGCCAGGCCGACGAGGCCGCGUUCACUCGGAGGGCCAUAGCCUGGCCGGCCCUUUGCUGGCCCAGCUGUGUUUCGAGAGCUAAGAAGCCUUGCCCAGAAACUGCUGCGCAAUAGUUGCUAACGUAUUAUAAAGUAUGAAGUUAAUUAUAUGUAAUUUACUUCUAACUGCUAUCAAAACGCGUAGUUAGCAAAAUAGCAAAACGCGUAGCAAAAUAGCAAAACAAGAAACGUUAUAUGUAACUUACUUCUAACUGCUAUCAAAACGCGUAGUUAGCAAAUAGCAAAACAAGAAGCUAUUAAUCUGAGGUUCACGUGACUAAACUAGAUCAGAUAUAUUUCUAUUUAUUUAUUUAACUACAUUAAAGGUGGUUUGUUUAAUUUUUAAUGUAAUAUAUAUAUAUAUAUAUAAAAUUUAAAAUUUUGAUACUUUCAAAUUUUAAAGUUUUAAAUUUAAAAUUUUAUAUUUAAAUUUUAAAUUUUAAUUUUAACUUAUAAUAUUUAUUUUUAAGUUUUAAACAUCCAAAUUUAAAAUUUUAAAUCUCUAAACUCUAUAAAAUUAAUUAAUUAAUUAAUUAUAUUAAUAAUUAAUUAUAUAUAGUAUAAUUAAAAAAAUUUAUUUGUAAGUAUAGUUUUCGUUUUGUCAUGUGGGUGCCAGCACGGUGGGGAGGAAAAAAAAAGUGAAAAUAGUGAAUGGUCACCGCAUUCGUCAAAUUAUUUACGACUUAUAAAAGUGGUAAGUGGUUCAUCACUUUUAAAAAUAGCAUACAAUGACAGAAUGGGAGAGAGAAUGAGAGUAAAAAUUAAUAAAGGUGGUGAACAGACCACUGUCUUUAAAAUAAUUUUUUGAUUUUAAGAUGUGCUAUAAAAGCGAUUAAUGAUUCGUCGCAUUUAAGAGGCCGUUAGGUUGGAUAUAGUUACAAAAAGUGUAAUUGUUGGAAGUAUAUGCUGUUGCAAAUGCUGUAACCAUAAUUACGUCUAAUCUGUUUGGUUUUAUGUAUUUACAACUGUUGCAGUUACAUUUCUUCUGUUUGGUAGGUUGUAAAUUGAGAUUUGAAUUUGUAAAUUCUGUUAAUUUUUAAAUAGAAAGAUGAGAUUAUCUCUUCUGAAUAUAACGUAAUCAUGUUUUAAUUAUUAAUUAAGAAUUUUAUAUCUAUAUAUAAUUUAUAUAUUAUAAAAUUAUAUAUGAAUUUAAUAAAUUUUAAAUGCAAACAUAUUAUAGAUUUCGUCAAGACAAAAAUUAAAAUAUUAUUAAACUAUGAAAAAAAAAUCACACUUUAUUUUUUUUUAAUAGGCGAGUCGAUUCAAGUCCAACAACUGCAGUUGGUUUGGCUGCAGUACCAACUGCAGCAAUUGGGCUUUUUCUUGUAAAUGCAACUGCAAUAGUUGGACCUAAUUAUACCAAACCAAAUAAAAAUUUAAUAGAUGCAUAUAUUUUCAACUGCAGUUGAAAAUGUAUGUAAUAAAACAGCCCCAAAACGCGGUAAUUCAUUUAUUGUUUAUAUUAUUUAUUUUUAAAAAAAUUUAAUAUAGCAUAUUAGAGGUAUAUUUUUAUAAUUACUUUUUUACAAAAAUUAUUUUUGUAAUCCUAAAAAUUGGUAGGAUCAUUUCUAAAAAAAAAAAAUAGUUUAUUUUGCCUUUCCUUUCCAGCUUUGUUACAUUUAUUAAUGUACCUUUAUGUCCUUUCUCUUGAAUGUUUAACAGAUACUUCUGUUGGGUCUUGGUUUCUUUUGGCUUUCAUUUCACUUUUCUUGCUAUCUUGCCUCUCUCUAUAGUUUUGAAAUACAAUUGCCCAUAAUUGUUCAUCUUUUCUUUUUCCUUUUAUUUUAGAUUUUGCUGGAACUUUAUUUACCUGUUUCUCUUAUAUAUAUUUUUUCAGUUUUUUUUUCAGUUAUUAAAAUUUUACUUUAGCUGGAAUUGCCUAUAAAGUUUUAUGCUUUCACUUAUAUGUUUCAAUAAUUACUCUCGUAAUUUUUCAUGUUUUUCAUUUCAUCGAACUUUGUUACGUAAUGCUUCUCAGUUUCUACUACCAUUUGUAAUCGGUUCUGGAUCUUAUCUUAUUUGGCAUCUCUUUUUUUCCCCCUCCCUUUGUGAAACUAUUGCAAGGUAAUUAAUCCCCACAUAUAAUAAAGCUUAAGAUGAAUCACAUGAACCAUUAUAAGGACCCAAAAUUGGCAUGUAAUUACCAGGAUAAUAUAUAUGGUGAAGAAUACACACAAAAAAAAGAAAAACCAAUUUCACAAACCUUCACAGUUAACCAUCUUUUCUAACAUUUGUAGUCAUAAACAUCUUAUACCAUUAAACCUGCUGUGUACUUCACACCAGUAGAGGGUAACCACAAGUUGCCGUCGAUAAACUGCGCCACCGUGAAGUUGACGGCCUGAGCCGAGCUGUUCAUCGCGUGGUAACCUGGCCACUUGACCCGGCCGCCCAAACCUGAGCCUGGUCCAAAGUUCAUGUACUCGCCAUAAAACAACGUGUCGAGCCCGAAUGUUCCAUUCCAUUCGAGCCACCCUUCGGGUCUGAUCACGUUACCGAUGUACGACUGCAUUAUUACCGUUCUCGAGUACUCCUUCCACGGUCGACCCAAGUACGUGUAGGUCUGGUUCGUCGUCGCAUUCGCUAGGAAUGUAGCAGACAAGUCCGAGUCGGCUGACACGUUGCAGAAUUGGAGGGCAAAUCCGGUGUUUUGGUUCGGGUCCUUACGGCCGUGGGCUGUGACGGAGUUCUUCUGAUCCGGGAGGGGUCGACGCACGAAGAUCUGGCAGUUUUGGAAGACGGCAGCAGCAUUGCCGAAGAUGAAGUCGACGGUGCCAGAAAUCCGACAGUCGCGGUAGAAUUGGCGCAGGGAGUGCGCGUAGAGAGUGUCCUGAUAGCCUUCGAAACUGCAACGGUAGAACGCUGAGAGGUCCGAGUCCGACCGCAGCGCCACCGCCUGGUGCUUCGUCGGUCCUGCGGUGUUCUCGAUCGUCAGGUCGCGAGCAAUGAAGCCUUUGCCAGAUACGGCUGCACAUAGCAAAUCAGAAACAAGUAAACAAAACAUUUUAAAUAUUAAAUUUUUAUCCAACUGCAUUAAAUCUGAUCAGUAAUUUUAAAAUUUUAAAUUUACUUUGCGCGUCAAAAUUUUAGUACACCAACCAACAAUUACUUCAAAAGGAAAUGCGUGUGCAUGUGAGGUUGUACAUGUCUGUACAAUCACUGGAUUUUUUUUAUGGCAUUAAAAUCGAUCCCAUCCGUCCAUCAGACAAACAGUGAGGAUGUACAGUGUAUAAAUUAUUAUCUAUUUACACGGUGUUACGGUGCUCCAUAUCGUCGGUGAAUAUAUUAUUAUAUAUUUAGUUGGGAACAAUAUGGACACAAAAAUUAAAAAAUCCAAACCCAAAAAAAAUUAAAAAGAAAGAGAGAAAAAAAAAUCCGGUGAGAAAAGACGAGAUAAUGCGAGUCCCAAGGAAUCCGUAAAGCCACUGUGGUCCCCACGCGUACUGCUAUUUUUGGAUACUUUAAAUUUGACCCAUAGGAUUCACGGGGACCAAGUUUUACCUAUUAAAAUACUUUACAAAAUUACUAUUAUUUAUUUAUUGAUUAAUUUAUUUAUUGAUUUAUUUAUUUUAUAAGUUGUUUUUGAAGGUCUCAUUCCAAAUAUCCCUUCCAUAUAUAGUUAUUAUUAAGUUUUUUUUCUAAGUGUUAAAUUAGUUACUAAAAUGACAAUCAUUAGACUAAAAACAUAGAAUUAUAAUCUUACUAAUGAUUGCUGACUUAAACAGGUCAUUUUGCCAUAUGGCGAAAUGUCAAGAUGGACUGAAUCACGUUCCAAAUAAUGUGAGAUUGGUCAAGUCAAGUCAUAUUUCAAGUGAUAUAAAAUUGGUUGGAUCAAAUUACAAUCGAGAUUCGUAGGUAUUGAAUUGAUUGUCUAUUUUGAGUAGGUCAAGUUUUUAGAAUUAAUGAUUAGCAUCAACUAACAGACAGUGAUGUCUAAUAAUUCUAACCAAAUUACACUAAGUUGAUGUAUAAAUGUAAACUUAGACAAAAUUUUGACUAAUCAAAAUUUUAAUAUAAAAAUGAAAAAAAGUACUGUAAUCAAUGAAUUAUUUAUGAUCAGAAGAAUCUUAGUUGAAAGAGACAGAGAGAGAGAGAGAGAGAGAGAGUGACUGACCGACAGUGGCGCUCCUGAAAGUCGUCCAGCCGUCGAUGAAAUUGCGACUGCCGGUGAUGACCGUCUGCCCCAUGCCAUCGCCCACCAGCAUUAAGUUCCACUUCUUCUUCUUCACGUCCACAUUCUCUCUGUACACCCCCUUCUUCACGUAGAUCACGUACCUCUUCUCGCUCUCCAGCGGCGCCGCCUCCACCGCCGCCGUCACGGUCGUGUAGUUCCCGCUCCCGUCCUGCGCUACCACCGCAUCAGGCGCGAACGCUGAACUAGCAGAUUGGAGAAUUCUCCGCCGCGCCCCCGGUGUCACCCAAUUCGGAAAUCCUUCCACUAGUUUUCGACCGUUGCCGCCGCCGCCGCCACCGCCGGAUGCGGCUGCAGCGAUUUCGGACAAGCCUUCGCCGACGAGGGACGUGAUCAGCUGGAGCCCGCCGGAGACCAGCGAGCCCAGGAUGGAAUCAGUGCCGUCGAAGCCCUCAGUGCAUGUGUCCUGAUCACGCCGCAUUAAAAAAUAUAAAUAUAUAUAUAUUAAAAUACUGUUUUAUGGCAACUUAAACAACGGCCUAGAUAGUAAGUAUUGAGUUAUAUGAAAUAACUAUUUUUUUAAAAAUUUAAAUUAUCAAAAAAUAAUACUUUUAAUAUUUAAUAGAGGUAAGAUAUGAAUUUAAAUUAUAUAAAAAAAUUAAAUAAUACUAAAAAUCUGAUUUUAAGAUCUUCUAUUUUAAUAUCACAUAUAAAAUAAAUAUAAAAUAAUUUAAAAAAAAAAAAAAAGAUUAAGCUAUCACGUACUGCAUUUUUAGUAUUAUUUAAUUUUUUUAUAUAUAUUUAUAUAUAAAGUAUUUUAACACAAGAUUAUCGAUCGAUCGGGUACAGGAGUAUUUAUAUGUAUGUACUAUGUAAGGUGACUCUAUCGUGUCGUCUGACCCAAACCGUGUUUUUUCGUGGUCGUCGAGGUAUUUCGAAGGAUAUAUUUGUGGGUUGAGGGGGAUGGUAGGAGAGGAAUUAAUAUGUAUUGUAAUAUAGUACCGAGGAGGUGGGGGAGAACAACAUUAAUAAGAGGACGAAUGAGAGAAGGAAUAAGAGAGGGGUCGGGAUAGGGAGGGUCGACGAGGGAGAAGAAGAAGAAGGAGGCGGAAGCUUGGCCUUAAGCACGACAGCAGCAGCGACGACAGCUGCGAGGCUAGGUGCCGCCUGCUCUAGCCCUCCCACCGCAGCUACCACAGCAGCAAGAGGCCGUACUAGCCGCCGCCGCUGGAGGCGGAGAGGAGGCGGCAGAGGCUGACGGAGCUGGAGGAGCUGGAGAGGAGGCUGCUCGAGAGGACCUGGUAGAGGCGGAGGGUCUCGUGGUCGUCGUCGUCGUCGUCGUUGUGGUUGUCGCCUCCGCCUCCGCCUCCACCUCCGCCGUGGCCCUUGGCGGCGAGGCUGGAGGCGAGGACCGAGUCGCGGCGGGAGCCGUUGGUCCACGCACGGGUGUUAUUGGCAAUGAGAGAUUUUCGAAUUCGUCGGUAGAGGAUAGGAAUCGCGUUUAUCGCUUUUUGAAUCAUCAACUAUAAGCUCUAAGGUUUAAAGUUAAGAACAACUAAAUAUAAAAGUUGAUUCAAAUAAAAACUUUUUUUUAUCUGCUUCGUCAUCGAUGAGAGAUAAAGUCAAAGCGCCCGUUUUUAUGGAAGGCACGUCAUUGUUUUUUUUCACUAAUUUUUAUAUAUAUUAUUCUAUUUUAAAAAACACUAGGGCGGUUUUUAGCUUUUUGGAAAGAGUAUCACAAUCCAUCAAAAGCGAUAGGUUAUUUGAAAUAAGUUGUAAAAAAACAAUGNCAUAAUCAAAAAUUUGAUUUUUAUAAGGGACCAUUUGAUUAAGAUAUAAUUACAAAUACAGUUAAAAAUGUAGCAGUUAUAAUUAUAUAUAUCUUAUUUGAUUUGAUGUAGUAGAAAGUGUUGUAGCUAUAAAUAAUUUAUUUCGCUGAAUGCAGUUUGAUAAAUAAAUUUUAAAAUUUUAUCAUUGUAUAUAUAUAAUGGUAAGAUUAAUUACUCUAAUAUUGAAAAAAUAUAUUUUUAUUUAAAAAAUAAUUAAGAAUAUAAGUUUAUCUUUAAUUUGCUUAAAGUUACGCUCUCCAAUUGUUGCAGUUGAGCUUCCUUCUGCAGUUUCUACUACAGCAGUUUGAGUUAAAUAUAUCAAAUCAAACAACAAAUUUGCAUUUACAUAUAAUUAUAACUGCAGUACAGUUGUAAUUAUAUGCAACCAAACAGUCUCUAAGAAUUGUGUUAGCAUACAUUAUUUGAUAAUACAUGAGUAAUAUUUAUUAUCAAUAUUUCUAUCAUUAAAUUAUUGUUAUUUCAUCUGCCUCCACUAAAUUUUAGAUAUUUAAUUGCCAACUUUUUGAUAAUGAAUAUUAUUUCAUACCUUAUUCUAUCUUGACUAUUUUUAUAAUUAUCUUAUAUUUCUGUAUUUGGUUUAAUAUAGUAAUAUAAUAGGCAAGUCAUUGCUGAGCUAAGAACGAAGAAUUAGUUGAGUGCAGGAUGGAGAUCUCUCUGAUUGAAAUGAAGUAGUGAGAAAAUAUUUUUGAGAGAAACUAAUCCUCUAAGCUAUUAAUAAUUCUGUAUUGCCGAAAAUACUACAUGUGAAUAAACAAAAUAUAAUAAUUUUAAAAAUUUUCUGCAGUAUAUAACAUAAACAGAGUAUGCCUUAAGAUUCUAAGGUUUUGUGGAAAAGCUUUUCAUACAAUUUUUUCUUUCCAUUUUUAUGUAUUUGUAUUUUAAUUUUUUUUGUGAGAAAAUUAUCAAAUUCUUAAUCAAUUAAGUUCGCUAGGUGUCGUAGGUACUAAUUAUUAUUGAAGGCUUUUAAUAUAUAUAUAUAGAGUGAGGCUACUAUGCUAUCGGAAGCACGGAGCCUUCCGUGCUUCCAACUCGUUUUCGAUGUUGCGACUUUCGAAUCGUCGAUCGGCUCCGUUAAACUUGAUCUAGAGUAUUUGAAGUACCUAGAAAAUAAAUUUUAUUAUUUUUUGAUAUCAUUUGCCUAGUGAUCGAAUGAGCUCAAAAUCAACAAAUUUUAAUGGCCGUAGUGAGCUGUUUGCAAGUUUAACGGUGUAGAAAUAUCCAAAUCACGUGAAAUUUUGAUAGAAAAUUCUUUAUACUAUAUAAAACAAGAUCAAUAUCUUUGAUUUAAAAUUUUAAUUUCAUAAUUAUUACAUUUUGUAAGAUUUUUAUUUUCAGCGUUGAUUUAGCCCCUUCGUUCACUAGGCAAAUGAUAUCGUAAAAUCAUAAAAUUUAUUUUCUAGGUAUUUCAAAAUCUCUAGAUCAAGUUUAACGGAGCCAUUGACGAUUCGAAAGUCGCAACAUCGAAAACGAGCUGGAAGCACGGAAGGUCCGUACUUCCGGAUAGCAUAGUAGCCUCACUAUACUAGAUAUAUAUAUUAUUAUAUAUAUAUAUAUAUAUAUAUUAUAUAAUAUAUAUUAUAUAUAUAUUAUAAUAUAUAUAUGCUUUAUUAGAGAUCAUGGUUUUGGCAUGUUAUAUUUGCAUUAUUAGUUGAUAAUAGUUACCCAAUUAUUAUUUUUUUUAUGAACCUAGCUAUCUAUUUACGCGAACACUCUACAAAAUAAUCAUAUCAUGGAUUUCUCUAUUUAAUUAUGAGGAUUAUUCAUCUGAUCAAAAAUAUUCAAUUUUUUUUUCUAUUUUCCACAUUGAGUUCUAACUAUUUUCUUUUUUAUAUUGAAUCUUUAAUAGCUAUUUGGUUUGUGUGUUUCAAUAGAGUUUUUUCUAUCAAAAUAUAUAUACGUAUUAAUUCAAACAAAUAUUAGAAACUACUUAUUGCCAAAAGGAUCCAAACCUAUUAAUUAAUUCUUUAUUUUUUAUUUUUUUUUUAUUUUUUUCUUUAUUGGAUGAAUGGAAAUUGUUAGCUGUGACGCAGAGAUAUCUUAUUUAUCUUUUUCCCUAAAAUAUACCUUCAAAGAAAGCGACAUUUCAUAUUAAUAUUGUGGUACUUAACAAUUUAUCGAAUUAUAGGCCACAAAAAAGUUUGACACUAAAUGAUGUCUCAAUUAUUUUAUCUUUUAACAUUUUUUAUAAUUUAUUCUUUAGAGAAAAAGAACGUGCUAUUUAUUUUAUUUAUUUUUUAAAAAUUAAACUAAAUUAUGAAAUAAAGUAAUUAGUCUUCAAACUUCGUUAAAUAUUUUACCACUUGCGCUAUGACCAAUCAAUAUAUUUUAAUAUCUUAUUGUAUCUUUUAAUCAAUCUGAUUAGUUGUUGGUGUUGUUCGUCAGUGAAAAUGUUUCCUUAAUUUUUGGCUAAUUAAAAAGCCAGAGAUUGUUUUAAUUGUUCGGCGAAAUCAUAUUCAAGGUAUGGAAAAGUUUAAUUAGUCGCAAGCAAAAUUUUUGUAAACUACUAAUUAAAAUGUUAUGUCACAUUCGAACUAUAGAUUCAAAGUAUGGGUUUAGGAUUUAGGAGUUAAAAUUUAGAAAGGAUUAAUUAAUUACAUUAAUCAUGAGAUACGUACACAUUAUUUAUUAUGAUGUUGUACGAGAGAGGGUUGUGGGAUCUACCCCUUGUGGGAGACAAAAUCACAUGUAAUGUUGCAAAUUUGGUGGCUUGUCACCCUUAUUUAUUUGACCAGUUCAAAUUAGAUUUUGCACAUGAAAUUUUUAGAAUUUAAUUUGAAAAUCUCAAAAAUAACCUCCAUAUGAUUUGUAAUGUUCAAAUUCAAAUCAAUUAAAACAAUGGAUUGCUAUUAUGCAUUCUAUAUUUUGCGUACUGAGUUGUGAAAAAGAGCGUCCAUAUAAAUCGAUAUUGUAUGCUUAUAAAAAAAUAAAAAAUUAAAAAAUAAUUGUUAUUUUUCAAAAGUUUGAGCCGUUCGAAUGAUUCUCUUUCUCACGUCUCAUGCCAAUAUGCGGAAUAAUAAAAUAGGAUAAAAUUAAAUAAAGUUAAAAUCUAAUGGGAUUCAUUGAAAUCUUAUACUAUAUACAAAAAAAAUAAAUUAAACAUUUAUUUGUUCUAAAAUUUUAAACUGUCAAAAAAUAUGUCUAAAUCUUAUAAUCUAGUCUUUGAAAGACUAAAAUUUAAUCACUUGUCUUAUUAUUUUUUUUAAUACUAAAAUUUGAAUGAGAAUUUUAAAUCUUUAAGUUAUUGUGUACAUUGUUUUUCAUUCAAAGGAGCAGGAACUCCAAGCUCCACACAUUCAAAUCAAUAUUUUCAUGCAGUAAUAAAAGACACAUUCAAAUCAAUAUUUUCAUGCGGUAAUGAAAGAGAGAGAAAUGAUGAAGAUUUGCUCAGUAUCUAAUCUAGUUACCGCAAAAAUAGAUAGAAAUUAUUUUAAAAAAAGAAAAAACUUUUAUUUGGGAGAAAAUUUGGCUCGCAGAGGACGGAAAAUCAUAUCAUAAUUAAAACCAAGAUAAAAUUAAGCAACAUUAUAUAUAUAUAGAGAGAGAGAGAGAGAGAGUAAUUAAUGCUACUAUCCUCUUAUGAAUAUAGAAUUCUUCGUACUCGUAAGUUAUUUUUAAUGAUAUAACGAUUUAGAAUAUUUGAACUUCUAAAAAAUAAAUUUCGUAAUUUUUUGAAAUCAUAAUGAAAUCCAUCAAUUGGGCAUAAAAUGAACGGUCAAAAUUGAAUGACGUUCUAAAAUAAAUGAUCGGAUCCUUCAAUUUAAGAUCGGAGUUAUUUAUCAUUAUCUAGGUAAUGAAUAAAAUUUUUUAUAAAAAAUUCAACUAAUUCCGAUUCUUUUGUACUGUUAAACUAAUAAGUAUUUCAUACCGGCCGUUAAAAAUUGUCAAUUUUGAAGUAUUUUGAUCGCAAGAUAAAUAAUAUCAAAAACUAUAAAAUUUAAUUUUUAAAAAUUUUAAAUGCUCUAGAUAACAUUUAGGGCCCGUUUGGUUCGAGUUAUGUAAUAUUAUAAAGUAUCUCGACAUAUCCAGGUAUCUUGGAUUUCGGCGUGAGAUUACUACUGAUGCUGCAUUAGAGUGUUUGGUUUAAUACAGUAAUGUAAUACUAGAUUAUAGUGUUUAUAGUAUUAAUAUGUUUGGUUUAGUUUAUAAAAUUUAGAAAUCCUGACAUAAAAGUAUAGUUUUUUUCAAAAUUGCCCUUGUUGUGGUCAUUUGAAUAUUAUUUUUUGCGAAAAUGACGAAUGGAGGGAAGGAGAUCGUGAUGAUUACUUGGGAGGACGACGCAAUAGAAGAUGAUAGGUGUACGUGCGCGCGCGCGAGAGAGAGAGAGAGAGAGAGAGAGAGACGUCGAGAGAGAGAGAGAGCGAGAGAAAGCGGCGUGCAAGAGAGAGGGCCGGGGGGAAGGCGAGAGAGAUGAAAAUAAUGCUGUUAAUUAGAUUUGGGGUUGUUGGAGGGUAAAAUUGUCAUUUUACAUAAUAGGUAGUAUUAACGGAUUUCAGUAAUGCAAGAUACACGAUCCCCCUCUCGUUAAUAUUUUCGAUGUAAUCCUACUCGAUUUGUAAUGCUAUAUUAACGACUAGAUUAUAUAGCGGAUUAACCAAACACAGUUAUCCUGGCAGGAUUGCCUGUAAUCCUGCUAGGAUAACUCCAACCAAACGCAUCCUUAACGAUAUGGAUCGUUAAUUUCGAAGCUCUAUUAUUGAAAACAACUUAUGAGUAGGAAAGCGAUCGUACUCGUAAAGUAUAGUAUAGCGGGACUCUCUCUCUCUCUAUAUAUAUAUAUAUGUUACGAAA
Molecule: long non-coding RNA, 14695 nt
Filed under: Ananas comosus (pineapple)
Lineage: Eukaryota; Viridiplantae; Streptophyta; Magnoliopsida; Poales; Bromeliaceae
Description: long non-coding RNA (ACOM_LNC002811)
Source: RNAcentral